This 253-nucleotide ribosomal RNA is filed under the name uncultured bacterium. Its description in RNAcentral is "partial 16S ribosomal RNA". It matches the Rfam family "Bacterial small subunit ribosomal RNA", at positions 524 to 776 of the family's 1533-position model. The record is from RNAcentral.
GACAGAGGCCUCGAGCGUUAGGCGGAAUCACUGGGCUUAAAGCGUGUGUAGGCGGACUGGUAAGUACCUUGUGAAAUCCCACAGCUUAACUGUGGAACUGCUCGGUAUACUGCUGGUCUUGAGCCACUCAGGGGCUACCGGAACAAAUGGUGGAGCGGUGAAAUGCGUAGAUAUCAUUUGGAACGCCAAUGGUGAAAACAGGUAGCUGGGGGUGUGCUGACGCUGAGACACGAAAGCCAGGGGAGCAAACGGG